GCGGCCGGGAAGCGUACCCGUAUCGCCCGCACCGCAGGAGACAUCGCUAACCGCUCGACUAAAGGGUCAGACCCGCCAUUCAGCGGCCAACGUUGGCUGUUUUGCCAUUGUGGGAGGAGCAUCUGUUGAAGCGCGCAUUAGAAGGAUGUUUGCCUGUCCUAUAACCAACGAGCUGGCGUCUCAGAUGAACUGGCCAGGGAAGAAACUGAAAGAUAUGCAUGAACGAAAAACAGUAUUCAGAGACACCGGGCUCAAGAUGUGCAUGUUUGAUGCCCUACAACAAGUGAAAGAGAAAAGGGCG
Lampris incognitus (smalleye Pacific opah) is the source of this 301-nucleotide long non-coding RNA. RefSeq lists it as uncharacterized. The transcript is spliced from 3 exons. Lineage: Eukaryota; Metazoa; Chordata; Actinopteri; Lampriformes; Lampridae. The record is from RefSeq and is a predicted model, not a curated record.